GCCUGGAUGGCUCAGUCGGUUAAGCGUCUGUCUUUGACUCAGGUGAUGAUCUCAGGGUCCUGGGAUCGAGUCCCUCUUCAGGCU
This is a non-coding RNA of Canis lupus familiaris (dog), 84 nucleotides long. The record is from Rfam. Lineage: Eukaryota; Metazoa; Chordata; Mammalia; Carnivora; Canidae.